This is a non-coding RNA of Zonotrichia albicollis (white-throated sparrow), 5463 nucleotides long. Lineage: Eukaryota; Metazoa; Chordata; Aves; Passeriformes; Passerellidae. The record is from RefSeq and is a predicted model, not a curated record.
GGGCAGGGCGCGAGCGCGGCCCCUCAGGGCACCGAGCGGCGGCCGGGAUGCAGGAACCGGGGGCAGGAACCGCGGGCAGCGCAGGCUUUUCUCUCGUUUCCUGUGCAGCUUUGCCUGGGACAGUGGUUUUCAGUUUUUUAAUGGCUCUGUGAGUUGAGUGAGAGAUUGCUGAAAUGUUACAAAACUGAGCCUGCAAUGAGCUGUCCAGGGGGCAGCUGUAAGAACCAGUGGGCAGCAGUGCCUCCAACAACUUGGGACUUGAUUUAACCUUUGGGACAGAUGGGAAGUUCUGUGAAAUGUACAGGAACAGUUUGUUCCAUUUUGUUACCCUGAGCUGUGGUUCAGCAAGCAGUGCCAGUGCCAUCAGGUUUCCAGCCUUUUGAACGAUGUGGAGGCGGAGGAGCAGAACAGGAGUUCGGUUUCGUGUGGGACCCCCGGCAGGCGAGGGACGGGCACUGCGGCCGAGCUGAGCCUCCUCAGGAGCGACCUACACGGGUCACACGGCUCAGGGCAGCACUCGUGACACGGCGCUGGACAACGAACUAUUGUUCACAUCUAUCUCCUAUCCUACACUCGGGCUUGAGACGGAGUUUAAUGAAUAAUAAACCUACACAAAUUUGGGGGUUUUCUCGUUUUCCUGAAUGUUUCCAGAUAUUUUUGCUUUCUAACAGAAUGUAUGGAAUUCAACAAGAUACAGUUUCAAGUACUGUUAUUUUUAACCAAGGACAAUAUUUGUUGUUGUCUUAAUGUUUCCAUUAUUAGCACAGAGCACCUUAAUUCUGCAGCAGUUACCAUUGCUUGAUUUCUUUUUUUAGGAAACAUACAGAUUUACCUAGGUGAAGAAAAACAUAGACUAGUUUAUAUGAUGUUAUCUGGUUGGACAGAGAAACUCUAACCAAAAGUAUUUGUAAUUUCAGAGAGCACUAUUUGCAGAUUUCUUAGAGAUCCAUGCUGAGUACUUCUUAGAAAAGAUGAAAUGGGCUUUUAUGCUUUCACAUCUCAGUUGCUUUGUUGGGUUCUUGGGGAGGAGAUCCCCAGCUGAAAACACAGCACAAAGAACUAAGGAUUCUUUAGAGGAGAGUAUUUAUUCUAACCAGGUUCACCAUCAGCUUUAUGUUUCAGAGUCAUUCUGAUUAUGGAGCACUGACACAAAAGAAGGUAAGGAUUUUUAGACCUUUUUUUUUAAGAAGCAUAAAUAAGCCCUAAAUAUCUUUAUUGCUGGUAUAAAGAUUAUACCCUCUCAUCCUCUCAUUUCUGCAGUCGUGUUUCUUGCCCAUAAAAAAGAGUUUGCAAGAGUUCUUAGGUGGUUAUUUGCCAAAUCUCUUAGUGAAAAUGCUUUCCCAAAUAGGCCAUUGCGUUUUAGAUGUAAGGAGUUUGUGGUAGUUUCUAUUUAUUACACAAGAAUGAACUUACAGUUUUGCAAAUCUUUGCUAUUGUCUUUAACCUUUACUUUUAGCUGGUUUGAGAUUAAAAAUAGUGAGUCAUGGGUCUUCUGUGCACAUGGAGAAAAGCAAGCACUGUGAUAUUACUUGAUGUUUUCAUGUUUGGCAGAGUUGGAAAACCAACACAGGAUGAAGAGGGACUGCAUCUAAUGCUGCCUAAAUUCUUGUCAUUUGGGUUCUUGCUACCAAAAUGGGAUGGUGUAUGGAAGGAGGUCUGUUCAGAGUCUACAGGUGUUUGAAGGGGGUUCAGCAGGAUAGAUCUAGCAUGAAACUGGGGGAAAACACUCUGUUUCUGGGCCCUCUCUUAGGUACAGAUUACCUGUGUGUCUUGAAUGGAUAGGGACAACAAUACCCCUAAAAAUGUUGUGAUUAUCAAAUGUCACCAUUUCAGAAGUCCAGCACCUCGCCCUGGAUAAGGACAGGAUGUUUCUCUGAAGGAGCAGCCAAGGAGGAGGCAGUUGCUGGACUGUGGUGUUUUCAGUAACCAGAGGAUGCAAUAUUUGCCAUGUAAAGCAGGGCAGUUCCUUGUUUUCCUAACGAGGUGCACAGACUGGCAGUGUUAACCUUGAGCAACCUUUUCUCUGCAGUGUUCUUCUCAAAGACAAGCUCAGUCCUGUUGCCUUGAAAUUCUUUUAUUCAGUUCUUCUACAGUUAAGGUUUACAUUUCAGUUCACAGAAAACUGGUUGUUCUUCUCCAAAGCAUACACAGCUUUCACCUCAGCCUGACUGUCUGCUCCCCACCCCCAUUUACAAUGUACAAUUCCCACUUGCAGCAUUUUCAGUAAACAUGGGAUCAAUUGAGUAUACAGAAAAAGCUUCUAUAAAAUUUCCAUUAAAAAAAUAACAAGUAUUUAUUUACAAAGUGUUUGCUACUACAAAGUAAUAUUUCCUAUUGGUUCAAAUAUACUAUUUGCUAAUGCCAGUGUUCCUAUUAGGAAAGUAAAACUUUGUAUAUGCACUUUUCUUUAUAUCUUUGUCAGUGUUUAAAGCACAUAAAAUACUACCACAUUUGUUUACACUACUCCUAGCCACGUACAAUGUGGUAGUGGAAAUUAACACUAUUUGUUCAGGACAAAAAAAUCAGCAUAGCUUAAUAGCAGACUUUCUGCAAAAAUAAAACUUUAGUUUAUAAUUUAUAGGUAUUUGGAAAGAGGGAAAUCUGUGAAGAAUUUAAAAAUGUGCAGCAAAUGAAGAUGAAAGGGAAACUUGAGCUUUCCUGAAGAUACAAGAGCUUAGCACAAAAAAUGGGAGAAAAUUUUUCCACCAAAGUGUUUGUGUGACCCUUUGUGCCAAUACACAUCUUGGGAGAGCAAGAUGAGUAGAUUAAAAAAAUUAAUUAAAACUUCAAAUCCCAUAUAAUUAGCAUGCUUGUAAUUGGACUUGUUUCUUCCCACCCACCAUGUUUACAAAACCCUGCUUUCAGUUCAGCGUUGGAGGUCAUUAAACAGCUUUGUCCAUGACUGGCCUUGUUCUUAAAAAAAAGUUUAAUUUAAAAGUUAAUAGGCUUUCAAGUGGUUUCUGCAUUUUAAAUAUAAAAAGGAAGUGUCUCUGCAAUUACUUCCAUGUAGAAGAUAGUGGACAUUAAAAUGUGCUACUGUAAGGGUGGGGAGGAGGGCCAGACCUGCCUUGUCUGCCCCUUGCUGCAUGUUGUAGCACCCUCAGAACAUGGGCUGAUGGCACAUGAGCGUUCAGAAUUCAGCAGCAAUGCUCCUUGCCAAGGACUCAUCCACUGCCAGGUCGUGCCCCAGGUGCAGCCAACAAGUCCUGCUGUAAAACUCUGCCUGCGGGUGCUGGCCAGUUUCUCCUGAUGCUCAGUAAGAUGUGCAAACACAAAGCUUGUGCCUUGGUGCCAGGGCAUGCUGUGCAGUCAGGGCCUGAGGAACGAGGGCAGGCUCAUAUCCUGCUUCUCACAGGCUUGUUCAAAGCAGGAUUCAUUUGUUUUGCAGUAGGUGCUUGGGAGAUACAGUGUCAUAACACUUGCCUAUGCUUCUCUGAAGGAUUUCUCAUGGCUUUGGGACAAGGGAAUGUUUCAGAAACUCGUAUGAUGGGUUGUGAUUCAGCUGGUGUUUUCCUGGGGAAAUUAUGGGAGAUCCACUUCAUCCCUGCAUCAGUAUGACCAAAUCUACGAAUUGUUAAAGCAAUUACGAUAGCAAUGCAACAAACCCAUCAAAAAGCCUGGAGACUGGUUCUGUGGACUUUACAUUUUCUGAUAGUUUUAACUUUUGUGGGCACUCAGAAUAGUUGUGUGUGACCUGAAAAUGUCAGCAGGAAGGGCUGUGGAUAUGUGAUGUCCUUCCCUCUCUGGCUGCCUGGCUGGUGUGGGUGGGCAGCAUGGGCAGCACAGGAACCAGGCAGUGUGAGGGACAAGUGUUUCACCCAUGGAGAGGAGAAUGGGCUAAAGCCAACUCAAUUUGUCUUGGAAAGUUUCUGCAUAGAUGAGUUUGAUUUGCAGCUACAACUGGCUUUAAAUUUGACAUUGCUGUAUCCUGCUAUCCCAUGCUGGCCAUAUUUCUAAAGUACCCAUGCCUGGAGAAUGUUGAGUGCUUAAGAAUGGCAUUUAGAGAAAUCAGAUUUAAGUGAUUGCACUUUUCUAGCCAAUACAGAAGACUAAUAAUCAUAGAGAUGCAAGUUUGUGCUUCUGGGAUGUUCCUGUGUCUGCUUGGAAUUAUAAUGGCUGUGUUACAGAUACUGAACUCUACCAGUCAGUCUGCUUUUCUUCUUAGAUAAAUGCAAAAGUAUUUAUUUGCUCCAUAUUGGUCCUAACUAGGAGGCUUUCCCUUGGGAUUUGGAUGGUUAGAUCUCAGAUGUUACUUCUGACCAAUUUUGAGCAAGGAUUUUUGGUGGCCUGCAGUUUAGGUGGAUAUCCUAAAUGUUGGAUUCUUCAGUAUUCUCAAAAAUCUGGAAGCAGAAAAGAGAAUAUUUUGGUUUUGUCUGAUCUCUGGGUGGGCAGACAGGGUAGGUGUAUCAAAGGUGGAGAGUGACUGUACAGCUGUGAUGAGCAGCUGUUCCUGGCACGCUGCUGUGUGUGCUGAGCAUUCCCUCCCCUCCCUUCAGUGCCAGCUGGGGAGGGAGCCAGGGAUGCCCCCUCAGGCACUCCCACUGAAGGAGCUGAGGGGCUCUGGCACACACAGCUCUGCAGUGACUUGCAAGGACAAUAAUUCUUGGCAGAGGGAAUGAACUAAUGGGAGUAACAUUGCUUAUGGGUGGUUUUUGGCAAUAUACCAGGACUGGGGAGAGGAGAGUUACAGCCUCUUAAAAAUACUCACCAGACAAAAUCUUGACAGUUAAACAGGAAAGAGAUAAUCUGAUUUGGGAACUCUGUUAAGUCUAAGGACUGAGUUUCGUGAUGUUUUAUGGUAUCAGGAUUGGGUUGUGUGAACACCUGCCAGCAGAAAAUUAGGUAUUUCGAGUUUUUCAUGUGCUCAGGUAGGUGUGUGAUGUCCUCAACAUCACAAAUGAUUCAUUGGUGCAUUGCUUGCAGACAGAGGCCAGGAUUCAAGCAGUGGCACAUUUUAAACAACAAACCUCCAUAAAUGGGUCCUUGGCUUCUCCCUCCCCUGUUCAUCACCGAUGCUGCAAGAGGCACCUGAGACACCUGCAGCCUCAGGGACCCAGUUCAGCAGAAGGCUGUCACCUCAAAGGAUGGCUACUACCAGAAUUUUUUAAAUCACAAAUUAAAAAAGCACACAUAGUCUUUCCCCAGCCCAUUACAUCUGGUUAUUUAAUGUAAUGAUGCCCAUGAGAGAUUCCUGGAAUGAAAAGAUAUAAAUGAGGUGGGUCAGGCAGGAAGAUAGCUUGCUUUGGUUUGUUUUCUCUACACCAUACCCUGUGGUGCUGGCUUUGGUUUUAAAUGAAUCCAAACCCCAAACAUCUUUAACUUGCUGAAGGGAAAGUCUUUACCAUCAGCUGCCUGAUUAUUUUCAGCUGAAAAGGUCCAGUUAACUACAAAAAGGAGUAUUGCCCAGAGUUCAAAUGUGGUUAAGUUUCAGCCAUACUCUUGAAUUAAAAUAGUGGAUUUGGU